GACGAACGCUGGCGGCGUGCUUAACACUUGCAAGUCGAGCGGAAAGGCCACUUCGGUGGUACUCGAGCGGCGAACGGGUGAGUAACACGUGAGUAAUCUGCCCCUGGCUUUGGGAUAACCACCGGAAACGGUGAUUAAUACCGGAUGCGACCACUUCUCGCAUGGGAUGGUGGUGGAAAGUUUUUUCGGCCAGGGAUGUGCUCGCGGCCUAUCAGCUUGAUGGUGAGGUAAUGGCUCACCAUGGCUUCGACGGGUAGCCGGCCUGAGAGGGUGACCGGUCACACUGGGACUGAGACACGGCCCAGACUCCUACGGGAGGCAGCAGUGGGGAAUAUUGGACAAUGGGCGGAGGCCUGAUCCAGCAACGCCGCGUGAGGGAUGACGGCCUUCGGGUUGUAAACCUCUUUCAGCAGGGACGAAGCGCAAGUGACGGUACCUGCAGAAGAAGCACCGGCCAACUACGUGCCAGCCGCCGCGGUAA
Molecule: ribosomal RNA, 481 nt
Filed under: uncultured bacterium
Lineage: Bacteria
Description: partial 16S ribosomal RNA
Rfam family: Bacterial small subunit ribosomal RNA
Source: RNAcentral